RNAcentral lists this ribosomal RNA (466 nucleotides) under uncultured bacterium. RNAcentral's name for it is "bacterial SSU rRNA". It matches the Rfam family "Bacterial small subunit ribosomal RNA", at positions 328 to 793 of the family's 1533-position model. The record is from RNAcentral.
UCAGUCGACUCCUACGGGGAGGCAGCAGUGAGGAAUAUGGGUCAAUGGGCGCAAGCCUGAACCAGCCAUGCCGCGUGCAGGAAGACUGCCCUAUGGGUUGUAAACUGCUUUAUACAGGAAGAAACACUCCCUCGUGAGGGAGCUUGACGGUACUGUAAGAAUAAGGAUCGGCUAACUCCGUGCCAGCAGCCGCGGUAAUACGGAGGAUCCAAGCGUUAUCCGGAAUCAUUGGGUUAAGGGUCCGUAGGUGGAUUAGUAAGUCAGAGGUGAAAUCCUGCAGCUCAACUGUAGAACUGCCUUUGAUACUGCUAGUCUUGAGUCAUUAUGAAGUGGUUAGAAUGUGUAGUGUAGCGGUGAAAUGCAUAGAUAUUACACAGAAUACCGAUUGCGAAGGCAGAUCACUAAUAAUGUACUGACACUGAUGGACGAAAGCGUGGGGAGCGAACAGGAUUAGAUACCCUGGUAG